Molecule: non-coding RNA, 410 nt
Organism: Astyanax mexicanus (Mexican tetra)
Lineage: Eukaryota; Metazoa; Chordata; Actinopteri; Characiformes; Acestrorhamphidae
Source: the annotation of a RefSeq genome assembly
AUAAGGUAAAGAACAUGUUGGUGGCUGCUGUGGCACUUUUAAUUCUGUUUCCAUCAGCUGGUCUGAGCUUGAAACAGUCGCCUGAUCUUUUUGUUAAAAGUGGUGAAAAUGUGACUCUUACGUGCUCUCAGAUUAACACCACAUUUAACGGAAUGUACUGGUUCAGACAAAGACCCUCUGAACCAAUAGAGAUGAUUGCUUACUACUACAUUAACAUGAAGACAGAAAUAGAUCCGUUUAAAAAUAAAGUGUCUGCUGUGAGAAAUAAAUCUUCUCUGGAUGUAACUGUGAAGGAAGUGGAGAGAGCAGACAGUGCUGUUUACUACUGCGGAAAACAAGAUGCACAGCAAGAGAGCCUAAUCUCUAACCUCAACAAGAACUACCUCCUCCAAGGCCUACGCUGAACCAAC